GUGCCGUGGUUCUUAUGUGCCGUGGUUCUUAUGUGCCGUGGUUCCUUCCUUACUAACAGGGAGUUUUUCCUUGCCUCUGCUGCCAUUGUGCUUGCACUAAGGGGGUCCAGGCUCUGGGCUCUGUAAUGCGCCUUGAGACAAUUGUAUUGUUAAGGCGCUAUGUAAAUAAAAUUGAAUUGAAUUGAAUUUAUGGAUCUAAUUUCAACAUGUCUACAGGUUACCUGUGAUAUGGACUGUUUAACUAUUCCUGUACAUGACAGCUGUAAGGAACAGAGGAGUCUGAUGAGUUUGUUUGCCUUAUGAGAGAUUUAUUUAUGGGCUUUUUAGCCUUUAUUUGGAUAGGACAGUGAGGAGGAGUGAAGAGGUGGGGAGAGGAUGGGAGGGAAACGUCAGCAGGUCAGAAUCGAACCUGUGUCCCCGCGGGCAUUGGAGCCCGUAAAUGGGGGGCUUAUUCACUCGUGCCACAGUGCCCCCCCCCCCCCCCCCACCUUAUGAGAGAUUUAUUUUGAGUGUUAAACUGUACAUUCCACAAAGCGAAGAUCAGAAACGACAAACAGUGACUUAGGUUUCCAUUCUAUUCCUUUUCUGAACUCAUUCUGCUGUAGGUCUUAGGUGCCUGGCAUCGAGACCUUUUUGCAACUUCAACUUCCCACUCGCUUGUGAAAUGCAUCGCAGUGCGUGUUUAAGUAAUUGUGUUGGGAUGGGGGUCAUUGAUGAUUUUGAUGAGAAGAUCAGGAAAGUGAGUUCAGGGAGGAUUCCAGGAGUACACCAGGUUGUGGGGGUGUUAUAGAGGUAGUCAUGGUGAUUCCAGGAGUACACUAGAGUGUGGGGGUGUUAUAGAGGUAGUCAUGGUGAUUCCAGGAGUACACCAGGUUGGAGGGGUGUCACAGAGGUAGUCAUGGUGAUUCCAGGAGUACACCAGGUUGUGGGGG
Long non-coding RNA from Clupea harengus (Atlantic herring), 932 nucleotides. The record is from Ensembl. NCBI's taxonomy places the organism in Eukaryota, Metazoa, Chordata, Actinopteri, Clupeiformes, Clupeidae.